GAUGAACGCUAGCGGCAGGCUUAACACAUGCAAGUCGAGGGGUAUGGUUCUUCGGAACCAGAGACCGGCGCACGGGUGCGUAACGCGUAUGCAAUCUACCUUUUACAGAGGGAUAGCCCAGAGAAAUUUGGAUUAAUACCUCAUAGUAUAACGAUGACCGCAUGGUCGAGUUAUUAAAGUCACAACGGUAAAAGAUGAGC
Molecule: ribosomal RNA, 200 nt
Filed under: uncultured bacterium
Lineage: Bacteria
Description: partial 16S ribosomal RNA
Rfam family: Bacterial small subunit ribosomal RNA
Source: RNAcentral